AGCAGCCGCGGUAAUUCCAGCUCCAAUAGCGUAUAUUAAAGUUGUUGCAGUUAAAAAGCUCGUAGUUGAAUUUCGGGGUCAGUAGGUUGGUCAUGCCACUGGUAUGUACUGGUCUUACUGAUUCCUCCUUCCUGAUGAACUGUAAUGCCAUUAAUUUGGUGUUGCAGGGAAUCUGGACUGUUACUUUGAAAAAAUUAGAGUGUUUAAAGCAGGCUAACGCCUGAAUACAUUAGCAUGGAAUAAUGAAAUAGGACGUUCGAUCCUAUUUUGUUGGUUUCUAGGAUUGACGUAAUGAUUAAUAGGGAUAGUUGGGGGCAUUAGUAUUCAAUUGUCAGAGGUGAAAUUCUUGGAUUUAUUGAAGACUAACUACUGCGAAAGCAUUUGCCAAGGAUGUUUUCUAUUAAUCAAGAACGAAAGUUAGGGGAUCGAAGACGAUCAGAUACCGUCGUA
RNAcentral lists this ribosomal RNA (450 nucleotides) under uncultured Glomeromycotina. Its description in RNAcentral is "SSU rRNA". It matches the Rfam family "Eukaryotic small subunit ribosomal RNA", at positions 569 to 1022 of the family's 1831-position model. The record is from RNAcentral. Lineage: Eukaryota; Fungi; Glomeromycota.